Triticum urartu is the source of this 488-nucleotide non-coding RNA. Lineage: Eukaryota; Viridiplantae; Streptophyta; Magnoliopsida; Poales; Poaceae. The record is from RefSeq and is a predicted model, not a curated record.
UCCUGGCCAACCAAUCGUCGCCGCAGGGGCAGCAGUAGUUCUCCCAUAAGUAAGUCACAAAGAGAUCGAGAAUUUAUAAUCCUAUAGUCCUAGUUGAGAAACAAGACAGAAUUGAUCAUGGAGCGUUGUUCUGCUUCUUCCUUGGCAAUUGCGCUUUCUGCGGCAGUGCUGGUUCUCAUGUGCUGCUCCUUGGCAUGCUCGGCGGAGGUCCAAGUCGCAGGUAACCGUGGGCCAAGGGUUCCUACGCCACCUGCGCCGAUGCCGCACACCCACGACGAGUUCGACAUGCAUCCACCGCCGCGGCCGACGUGGUCGCCUACGCCGCACCGCAAGACACUGCAGGCUGUCCCAUACUUCUGAGUUCUGGCAAUGCUACGAUUGAUGCCCACUAGCUUAUACUAUAUGUAUUUAUACCAUGUCUAUGCAUGUAUACGACCGACUAUUGUGCCAAGGAACAACAAAUCAAUAUAAGACUAGCGUACCUAUUA